This 1914-nucleotide ribosomal RNA is filed under the name sediment metagenome. RNAcentral's name for it is "bacterial LSU rRNA". It matches the Rfam family "Bacterial large subunit ribosomal RNA", at positions 599 to 2507 of the family's 2925-position model. The record is from RNAcentral.
GCGUACCUUUUGUAUAAUGGGUCAGCGACUUACUGUUCGUGGCAAGCUUAACCGUAUAGGGGAGGCGAAGGGAAACCGAGUCUGAUAAGGGCGCAUAGUCGCGGGCAGUAGACCCGAAACCGGGUGAUCUAGUCAUGCCCAGGGUGAAGGUGCGGUAACACGCACUGGAGGCCCGAACCCACUCCCGUUGCAAAGGUAGGGGAUGAGGUGUGAUUAGGAGUGAAAAGCUAAUCGAACCCGGAGAUAGCUGGUUCUCCUCGAAAGCUAUUUAGGUAGCGCCUCAUAUGUAUCCUCUCGGGGGUAGAGCACUGUUAUGGCUAGGGGGUCAUCGCGACUUACCAAACCAUUGCAAACUCCGAAUACCGAGACGGACUGUAUGGGAGACACACGGCGGGUGCUAACGUCCGUCGUGAAAAGGGAAACAACCCAGACCCACAGCUAAGGUCCCAAAUUUUGUGCUAAGUGGAAAACCAUGUGGAAAGGCACAGACAGCCAGGAGGUUGGCUUAGAAGCAGCCACCCUUUAAAGAAAGCGUAAUAGCUCACUGGUCGAGUCGGUCUGCGGGGAAGAUUUAACGGGGCUAAGCACAGAACCGAAGCUUGGGGUGCAUACUUUGUAUGCGCGGUAGAGGAGCGUUCCGUAAGCCGUUGAAGGUGGAUUGAGAAGUCUGCUGGAGGUAUCGGAAGUGCGAAUGCUGACAUGAGUAACGAUAAUGCGGGUGAAAAACCCGCACGCCGAAAGCCCAAGGUUUCCUUGCGCAACGUUAAUCGGCGCAGGGUGAGUCGGCCCCUAAGGCGAGGACGAAAGUCGUAGUCGAUGGGAAGCAGGUUAAUAUUCCUGCACCUCGCGUAAGUGCGAUGGAGGGACGGAGAAGGUUAGGUGUACCAGGCGUUGGUUGUCCUGGGGAAAGGCGGUAGGUUUGGAUCUUUGGCAAAUCCGGGAUCCUCUAAGACCGAGCACCGAGACGAGCCUUUAUGGCGAAGUCACUGAUACCACGCUUCCAGGAAAAGCUCCUAAGCUUCAGCUUACGCAGACCGUACCGUAAACCGACACAGGUGGGUAGGAUGAGAAUUCUCAGGCGCUUGAGAGAACUCGGGUGAAGGAACUAGGCAACAUGGCACCGUAACUUCGGGAGAAGGUGCACCCUUUUUGGUGGCUCGUGCGAGCUAUAGCUGAAGAGGGUCGCAGUAACCAGGCCGCUGCGACUGUUUAUCAAAAACACAGCACUCUGCAAACACGAAAGUGGACGUAUAGGGUGUGACGCCUGCCCGGUGCUGGAAGGUUAAUUGAUGGGGUCAGCCGCAAGGCGAAGCUCUUGAUCGAAGCCCCAGUAAACGGCGGCCGUAACUAUAACGGUCCUAAGGUAGCGAAAUUCCUUGUCGGGUAAGUUCCGACCUGCACGAAUGGCGUAACGACUUCUCAGCUGUCUCAACCGUAGACUCGGCGAAAUUGCAUUACGAGUAAAGAUGCUCGUUACGCGCGGCAGGACGAAAAGACCCCGGGACCUUCACUACAGCUUGGUAUUGGUGUUCGGUUCGGUUUGUGUAGGAUAGGUGGGAGACUGUGAAACGGUGACGCCAGUUAUCGUGGAGUCGUUGUUGAAAUACCACUCUGAUCGAAUUGGACCUCUAACCUCGGACCAUGAUCUGGUUCAGGGACAGUGCCUGGUGGGUAGUUUAACUGGGGCGGUUGCCUCCCAAAAUGUAACGGAGGCGCCCAAAGGUUCCCUCAGCCUGGUUGGCAAUCAGGUGUCGAGUGCAAGUGCACAAGGGAGCUUGACUGUGAGACUGACAGGUCGAGCAGGGACGAAAGUCGGGACUAGUGAUCCGGCACCGGCAAGUGGAAGCGGUGUCGCUCAACGGAUAAAAGGUACCCCGGGGAUAACAGGCUGAUCUUCCCCAAGAGUCCAUAUCG